GAUGAACGCUGGCGGCGUGCCUAACACAUGCAAGUCGAACGGACUUCAUAUUGAAUGAGACUUCGGUUGAAGGAUAUUUGAAGUUAGUGGCGGACGGGUGAGUAACGCGUGGAGAACCUGCCCUGUACAGGGGGAUAACAAUCAGAAAUGAUUGCUAAAACCGCAUAAGCGCACAGUACCGCAUGGUACAGUGUGAAAAACUCCGGUGGUACAGGAUGGCUCCGCGUUGGAUUAGCCGGUUGGCGGGGUAACGGCCCACCAAAGCAACGAUCCAUAGCCGGCCUGAGAGGGUGAACGGCCACAUUGGGACUGAGACACGGCCCAGACUCC
Molecule: ribosomal RNA, 330 nt
Filed under: uncultured Clostridia bacterium
Lineage: Bacteria; Bacillati; Bacillota; Clostridia
Description: bacterial SSU rRNA
Rfam family: Bacterial small subunit ribosomal RNA
Source: RNAcentral